Molecule: long non-coding RNA, 2149 nt
Filed under: Triticum aestivum (bread wheat)
Lineage: Eukaryota; Viridiplantae; Streptophyta; Magnoliopsida; Poales; Poaceae
Description: long non-coding RNA (TAES_LNC015748)
Source: RNAcentral
UUUUUUUUUUCUUUGCAUGUCAUGAUAUGUUAAAACUUACGGGAACUGAAGAAACACAAGGAUUUGUAAUAGAUGUUUGGUUGCAUCACAGAAAAUUGUAUGUAUUUUUUCUAAUAAUUAGGUGUGUGUACUAUGGUUGCCAUUGAAAUAAAGAAAAAAAAAUUAGGUAGGACUCAGUGAUAUCCUUUUUUUCUCCCACUGUAGUUGAAUAUAGAGCAAGUAAUAAAGAAAAAGGUUUAGUUGACGGGAGAAUUAUGAUUCGGAGGCGACGGGGGUACCAUUUCUGUUGAAAGAAAGAGGUGACGGGAGAAUUAUGAUCGAGAGGCGUCCAUUGCUGUGUACUAGCGCAACGCAAUGCAAUGACCACCGCCGACCGAGUGGCAUCGUCGGUUCAGCGGAAAGUGGAACGCACACAAAGGGCGCACUUUAGUCGUUGUCGUCACUUGUCAUUGACGUAUGGAACGCCGGUGUCUGGUGGAUCGGCGGUGGUGGCCAAGGAGGCGAGGCGAGGUCGUUCGUGUUUGGUGGGAUGUUGUUGCUUCCUCGGCUCCUUCUGCCAAGCCGCGGCCGCAACCGCGACGGCGCACCGGCAGGUCGGUAGCGUGCAACCGCGGCAGAGGAGCCGCCCCGGCCGUACGUCCCGUGUGGAGGACGAGGUGAGAGAGACUAUUGUCGACCGAUGACCUUGAGCGCACGCGACGCCCGCGCAGUGCAGUGCAGUGCCGCGGAGCUACCCGUGACACACCAUCUGAACCACAAAAUUGGGAAGGAGCCAUGUUUAACGAUUUCCUGGUGUGCCAAAAUGUCUCGUUUGUCGGCGGCUUAUCGGAUCUGGCAACUCGGGAAAAAGGAAGGAAAUGAUUGCAGUGCUGAUAAAGGAACAAGUAUGUUGCCAACCCUCAACAGAAAAGCUAGAAUGUUGGCAUGUGCUGUGGUGCGCAGCUUCCUCUCUCUCUCUCUCUCUCUCGAGUGUGUGUGUGCAGCACGGGGCGUAUGAACAACUGAAAGCUCCUCAACCAUGCACAGGCAUCAGAUGACAUACGUGGAAAAAAAAGGUCACGAUGAGGUUGCCAAAAAGCCAGUACCAAUAACAUAUUACCGCAUCAUGGCGAUGGUGGUAGCAGUUGGUGGCAGUGAGAAAAGCAGAUCAGUAGUAGGAAAAGCGUGACAGCCUUGAGCGCUUUCACGCCCGGAUACAAUACGACCCAAAACAAAGAUAACCUGACCAGAUAAUUCAUUAACCUGUAUAAAGCAACGUCCCAACGGCAUGCCACGCUGUGUGCUUGCCGGAUGGAUCAUCGACCCAUCAAUCUCAGUCCAGUUCGUUAGCACCUAAUGAAAUGAAAGCUCUGCUGUUCGUGCCUGCAAAUGGGAGCCAGGUUUGGUAAUUGGUGCUACAAUAGUGGUUAGCACUUGAUGGAUGGUUUCAGCUUUGUGUGGUUGUUUAACCCAGGUUAAGUAGUAGUACAAGGUUGGAUAGAUGCGUACGCACAGCACAGAGAUGCAUAGAUAAUGAAAACCUGCCAGAUGCUAGCAUUGUUUUCUCAUUCAUGAGCGGUGGUUCGACCAAAGACGAUGAUAGACACCAGCACAUGAAAAGAGAAUGCUGCAUCUUUAGGUUAGGUGGUUGACACUGCCUUAGGAGAGCAUGCAGACUUAAUAUUGUACAAAAUGCACCACCAACCAACCUAAUCCAAGAUCUCACUGCCAGCUAGCUCCAUGAUGCAUGCACACACAGCCCAACAGAACUCAAGGAUACUACUCCUAGAUAUUUGAUGGAAUCAAGUAGAAAAAACGGGUUGGAUAAAGCUGAAAUAAAUUUCCUGGGAAAAACCUCAAUGAGCAACAGGAAUAAAUAGAUGCAGAAAAAAGCAGGAAUAAAUAGCAGCACAUUACCAUUUAAUUUAACACAACAAAAGAGCAACAGAAAGCUCGUGCAUCGUUACCAAGAGGUUUAAUUUAACGCAUCACUACUUGCAUAUUUCCUUCCCAGAGAGUUGGUAGACCGUAGGCCCAAAAAAGGAUACUGAAAGCAUGAAAGCCUCUCUCCCUGAGCCUAAAAUCCCAAGUAAAUUGUUCCCAGGCUGCCCCACGGUUAUCAAGCAAGUCAGAACCCAAAAGAGAGCCCCUCCUAUCAACGAGCAAGGCC